CAAGAGCAAACAUGCCUGAUGGGCCACAGCGCGUCCUGUGUCUGCCUCUGCCUGAGCCUUGCUGAGCGCCAGGUCUCACAGCAGACCCAAGCUGGUGUCUUGGGGUUCAGGAAGCAAACCUGGAGGAGGAGGGCUGCAGACUUCAGGACCUGGAAUCAGCCAAGAAAACAUAACUAGUCCUGUGAAGAAGCAUGAAUAUAUAAUUGAUAAACAACAGAAAAAAAAAUAGACAACAGACACACAAAUCAUUCAGCUAUUGGAAUCAGUAGACGGAACUUUAUAAUAAUGAGUGGAAGAACUGGAACUCUCAUGCACUGCUGGUGGAAGUGUAAAAUCCAUGUAUCUGCCAGAGCACACUAAGGAUACAAAAACUACACAGUACUUUGGACAGGAAAUUUUACUGUGAAGAAUUAUUAAGGGGCUUCCUUGGUGGCUCAGCAGUGAAGAAUCUGCCUGCCAAUGCAGGAGACACAGGUUCGAUCCCUGAUGGGGGAAGAUCCCACAUGCUGCAGUGCAACUAAGCCCCUGCACCACGACUUUUGAGCCUGUGCUCUAGAGCCCAGGAGCUGCAACUAUGAGGCCACGUGCUACAUCUACUGAUGCCUGUGUGCCUUGAGCCUGUGUUCCGCAACAAGAUAAGCCACUGCACUGAGAAGCCCAUGAACUGCAACUAGAGAGAGAGCAGCUCCCGCUCUCCACAUCUAGAAAAAGCCUUCACAGCAACGAAGACCCAGCACAGCCCCCAAAAUAAAUAAUACAUUUUAAUAUAAAGAAUUAUUAAGGAUAAGAGGAGACUGCCUAGUAAGGAGAAAAGAUAACCCUAAAGAAUAUAGUUAUAGCAGAUGUCAGGAGUAGACUCUAGGGCUGAGGCAGAGAACCCAAAGGAGGAACAAAGCUGAAUGAGUCCCAGUCCUCACCUUCUACCCCAGGGCUGAGAAUCUCCAUUGUUGGAGAUUAUGUAGCCAUGACCCACGGGAUGAUGAAGAACGGCCAGUCUCAAAGACAAGGCAGGCCCUUUGUUCAAGGUCCAUGCAGAUGGAAUUUACUGGAAAGCAUUUUCCUCUUGGUGCUGAGGGAAGUCAUCCAUGGAAGGGAGUCACACUGUGGAAACAGCUGGAAAUUUUCCCACAGGAAUAAUACAUUGGAAAGUCAACCUCUGAGGUUUUGGAGGAAGCUGCACAUGGAGAUAUGCUUUGUGUUUCUGACUGCCACAUGCUGCAGGAACCUGCCGAGGAAGACAUCAGAACCAGAAGAGAAGCCUCUUUCUCCUACGGUGGCUGCCAUUGCUCCCUACUGACAAACCUUGACACUGUACUGGAUGGCAAGGGAGAAAUGCUGGCAGGGCCCAGCUCCGUUAGAACAGGGCAGGUAACUGAGAACGGGCCUGGAGGUAAUAAACUGAUAACUGACAAAAUUGGCUUUGCAAAACUAUUUAGUAGAGUCUCCUAAAACUAAACAUACAGCUACCUUUGGACUCAAAUUUUUUAUUAAUACUCCUAGGUAUAUAUCUAAAGACAAAUUAGUAUAUUCACCAAAAGACACAUUUAAGAAUAUUUAUAGCAGUUUUAGUCAUAAUAGCCCCCAAAGUGGAGACAAUCCAAAUGUUUAUUAACUACAGGAUGAAUAAAUAAAUCAUAGUUUAUUCAUAUAAUGGAAUAUUCUACUGCAAUAACUAAGAAUGAUACACAAACAGAAAUGAAUCUCACAGACAUUUUAUUAAGUGAAAGAAGUCAGAUGCAAAAGAUAACAUAUACUAAGUCCAGUAAAAAGUAAAACUAAUCAAUGGUGAUUGGAAUCAGAAUAGUGGUUUUCUCUUGGGGGAGAGGAAUGAGAACUGCGUGGGUGGGAAAGAAGAGCUGGAAAUGUUAUGUAUCUCGAUCUGGGUGGUGGUUACAAGGAUAUACACUAACGUGAAAGUUCAACAAGCUGAGCAUUAAUGAUUAGUACACUUUUCACAAACUCUGGGAGAUAGUGAAGGAUAGAGGGGCCUUGUGUGCUUCAGUCCACGGGGAUCGUGAAGAGUCAGGCACAACUUGUGACUGAACAAUAACAACACUUUUCACAUUUCACUGUAUGUGUGUUACACAGUCA
This is a long non-coding RNA of Bos taurus (domestic cattle), 2091 nucleotides long. The record is from Ensembl. Lineage: Eukaryota; Metazoa; Chordata; Mammalia; Artiodactyla; Bovidae.